This 1139-nucleotide long non-coding RNA is filed under the name Homo sapiens (human). RNAcentral's name for it is "Pvt1 oncogene". The stretch from base 731 to 899 matches the Rfam family "Pvt1 oncogene conserved region 4". Lineage: Eukaryota; Metazoa; Chordata; Mammalia; Primates; Hominidae. The record is from RNAcentral.
GGGGCGGCCGGGACGAGGAGGGGCGACGACGAGCUGCGAGCAAAGAUGUGCCCCGGGACCCCCGGCACCUUCCAGUGGAUUUCCUUGCGGAAAGGAUGUUGGCGGUCCCUGUGACCUGUGGAGACACGGCCAGAUCUGCCCUCCAGACCAUAGCUGUCUGCAGUGCAGGAAGCCAACUAUUAAGGGGAAACAAAAGUGUUCUUAGGAGUCCUGCUGUCACUGUGGAUUGAGCCGGUGAAGCCCUGAGGGAUUUCAUCGCUGAGGUGGAUGGAGAAGCAGCUGGGGGCCUUGGCUGUAAGGACCCCUAAGGGCCUGAUCUUUUGGCCAGAAGGAGAUUAAAAAGAUGCCCCUCAAGAUGGCUGUGCCUGUCAGCUGCAUGGAGCUUCGUUCAAGUAUUUUCUGAGCCUGAUGGAUUUACAGUGAUCUUCAGUGGUCUGGGGAAUAACGCUGGUGGAACCAUGCACUGGAAUGACACACGCCCGGCACAUUUCAGGAUACUAAAAGUGGUUUUAAGGGAGGCUGUGGCUGAAUGCCUCAUGGAUUCUUACAGCUUGGAUGUCCAUGGGGGACGAAGGACUGCAGCUGGCUGAGAGGGUUGAGAUCUCUGUUUACUUAGAUCUCUGCCAACUUCCUUUGGGUCUCCCUAUGGAAUGUAAGACCCCGACUCUUCCUGGUGAAGCAUCUGAUGCACGUUCCAUCCGGCGCUCAGCUGGGCUUGAGGACUUCGCAGCUGACCAUACUCCCUGGAGCCUUCUCCCGAGGUGCGCGGGUGACCUUGGCACAUACAGCCAUCAUGAUGGUACUUUAAGUGGAGGCUGAAUCAUCUCCCCUUUGAGCUGCUUGGCACGUGGCUCCCUUGGUGUUCCCCUUUUACUGCCAGGACACUGAGAUUUGGAGAGAAUCCUGUUACACCUGGGAUUUAGGCACUUUCAAUCUGAAAAAAUACAUAUCCUUUCAGCACUCUGGACGGACUUGAGAACUGUCCUUACGUGACCUAAAGCUGGAGUAUUUUGAGAUUGGAGAAUUAAGAGUGUGGGCACCCUGGCUUCAAGCUCACGAGAAACCAGGUCGGGAUUUAAACAAUGUUGGGUUAAAGCAAAGUUUCAUAAAGACAGAAUCAAGAAAAAAAGAAAGAGAAA